CACGUCCAAAAUGGGAGGCACUGUGUGGCGGCUCGCUCAAAACAUGAACAUCUAUGCUCCUACGUAUCUUUGUCCCUGUUGGCGCUAAAGAGCUAGCUUCCGUGUUGAGACGUCACCACCGCCCUAUAUAUCUGAUGCGCGCUUUGAGCUAACAGGGACGAGCGUCGUCACUCGGCCAUUUUGCGUCGGGGCAUAUAGUCAAAGGAGCGUUUACUUUGAAAUGUAAUUGCUAAAUUUUCAACCCAAUUUUGAAAAAACUUACUUUUUUUCUUAAACGCCAGAGAGUCAAUUAAUUAAAUUUAUACUUAAAAUGAAUUCCAACGUGCUGUAAAAAUAUACAGCUCUAAUUAUAGCUAUGUUAACGCAGUUGUUAUAAACCAAAAUGUUUGGAAAGAAUUGUCAAGAAUUCAGCGAGUUAAGAGUAUUUGAGAGAAGGAAAUCACUCACCUUAUGUUCCCUCCAUAAAUGUCCUCCGACGCAAGAAGGCCGCCAGUUACUUACGCGACCUAUUCCGCCUUAUGACAUCUAGCCUUAUAAAUGUGAUAUCUAUUACUACUUCCAUAUAAACUCGCCGGCUAAGAAUAGUCAUUCAAUACUCACUUGUUGACAUUGAAACAGGACGAGAACGCGGGAAUCCGUGCACCUUGAUUGCCCUCGUUUACUCUGGCGGAGACGCAUUGAAAAAUAUGUCAGGCCAAGAAGUGACAAGCAACCUUCCUUCGCUCCCACCCUCCCCUGACGUCAGUAUCGGCCUGGAGCUUCGCUACAUGGGCGACCAGCUCUACUCCAUUUGCUGCCGCUUAAAGACCCCUACCAAGGACCAGAAGAGCCAGGUCAAGUCCAGCGGUACAUGAUGACGUGAUGUGGGGAUCCGCGGAGGAGGUACAAAGAAAAUGUGAGAAGCAAAGAGGCGCUACCUUGGAGGUCGAGGAUGUGCGAUUCCUGAUUGGAGGCUUUGCGGCGAAUCAUGAAGAUCGGUCAAAGCAGUGGCGGGCGACUUCGUGACCUAUACAUCUUGGCGAGAGGAUUUUCAUCCAGACUGCCGCAAUAGAAAUGUUAACCCACCUGUAAUAAUUCUUUUAUCCCCAAAAUUUGCAAAUAAAAUAUCAUACCUGUAAA
Molecule: long non-coding RNA, 1119 nt
Organism: Corythoichthys intestinalis (scribbled pipefish)
Lineage: Eukaryota; Metazoa; Chordata; Actinopteri; Syngnathiformes; Syngnathidae
Exons: 2
Source: RefSeq, a predicted model, not a curated record